AGAAUUCAAAACUUCACACAGACCAAUCAGUUCAGUUGCAUGAGGGCCCACCCACUGAGAAAAACCCGCCAACAAGAAACAACCUUUCCAGAGAAAUUGAAAAUAAAUCCGUCAUUCCCAGAGAGAGAUGGCUAACAAUACAGAACUGUUCGAGUGUCCCAUCUGUUUACAGCUACUAGAGGAUCCGGUGACAACUGGGUGCGGACACAGUUACUGCAAAAAAUGCAUCAACACCUUCUGGGAUGUAAAUAAUAACAGAAGAAGACGUUACAGCUGUCCUCAGUGCCGGGAGACUUUCAACCGGAGGCCUGUUCUGAAGAAGAGCGCGCUUCUGGCUAAUCUGUUGGAGGAACACAAGAGGAAAACCAGCCAAAGUGCUGCUGCUGAUACCGAUGUUGCGCCCGGUGAUGUGUCGUGUGACAUGUGCACAGGGAGAAAACGAAAAGCCUGCAAGUUCUGUCGCGUGUGCUUGGUCUCUUACUGUGAGACUCACCUGCAGCCCCAUUUUGACGUGCCUCCACUUAAAAGACACAGUCUCAUUCCAGCCUCAGCUGGGAUCAAAGAAAGCAUCUGUGGCCGUCACGACAAACUUCUGGAGAUUUACUGCCACACUGAUCAACAGUUCAUAUGCCUGACGUGCGCGAUGGAUGAACACAAAGGCCACGACACUGUGGAAGUUGCAGCAGAAAAGUGUGAGAUGCAGAGAAAAGUGGAGAAGUCUAAACAGGAAAUUGCAGACAGAGUGCUGAAUACAGAGAGGAAAAUGGAGGAACUGAGGGAUGCUGCAAACUCUAUAAGAGAUGCAGCAUGGGAGGCGUGUGAUAACUUUGAGCGGCACAUCAGUUUAUUCGUCCGAUCUGCGGAGGAGAAGUGCUCUGAGAUGAGAGAGAAAGUUGGAGAAGCAGAGAAAGCUGGAGUGGACUGGACCUACAGCCACCUCGGGCAACUGCAGCGUGAAGUGUUUGAACUGAAGAGGAGGGAGGAUAAACUCAACCAGCUCUCACUUACAGAGGAUCCCAUUCAUUUUCUUAAGGGUUUCCAGGCUCUGGGCGACCUGUCUGCAUUCCCACACUCACAUGAACGAGUCGACACACUGACAGAGUUUGUCAGUGCACAGAAAGAGAGACUGAAAAAUAUUUGCCACAAAGAAAAGAACGAAUUAUUAAUUUGUUUGGAGCAAAACAAAUUAAUAAGGUUGCCAAAAAUACCCACAAUGCCAGAGGAAAUACGAUCAAGGAGACAACUUCUUACCAAAUGUAAGAACUGCAAGGUGGAGGUGGAUCCCCACACAGUAGCAGCAUGUCUCUGCUUGUCCAACAAUAACAGAGAGAUAUCGUGGAGUGAUUCCGGCCGGUCUCAUCCUGAUCACCCCCACAGAUUCACCUUCUAUCACCAGGCUCUGUGCAAAACAGGCCUUAAAGGCAGCCAAUACUGGGAGGUGGAGUGGGAUGGUGGCAUUAUUGAUGUGGCUGUGUCAUACAAAGGGAUUAAAAGAAAGGGUUCAGGGAAGGAUUGCUGUUUUGGCCACAAUACUCUGUCCUGGAAAUUAACCUGCUCUCCUUCUGGCUGCACAUUUUGGCACAAUAAUCUUCACAAAGGCCAAAUACCUCCAGCUCGCUCCUGCAGAGUAGGUGUACACCUUGAUUACAGUGCAGGAAGGCUGGGUUUCUACAACGUUUCUGGCUCUGGUGGGUUGACGCUGCUUCACCAAACCCAGGCCACCUUCAGUGAACCUGUCUAUCCUGGGUUUUGUGUUGAUUUAGGUGCAACACUGAAAAUAUGCAACAUCUAAGCCAGACCACAUAUUAUCACAUUUAAGGCCUGGUUAGUGACAUUCAGAAUAAACUCCAGAGGGCACAAAACAAAUGAAUGAGUGUAAUCCUGAAACUUAAUCUGUAAUAUUCUGACUGAAAAAACAUGUACCAGUGUAUGAAAUUACUUUGCACUGGUGAAAUAUUCUCACAGCUAUUUUACAAGAGUUAACUGAACGCAUUUUACAUUGUUUCAAGGCUCUAAUGGUUGAAAACAUGGAUUUAUACUCUUCUUUAUGCUUUGCGAUGAAAUAACUUUCAUUCAAGCCAAAGAUCACAUCAGGGUGCAUCUUCAAAGUGGCCUGGAACAGAGCUUGGAACAUGGCUGUUCUGCACUGCCUUUAUAUAUCAUAGUUUAAUUUUUUUGUUGUUUGUUGUAAGUUGGAGGAUCACAAUGGAAAUAAGACUGUCAGAUAUUAUUGUGUUUGAAUUCUUGGCAUUUGUAACUACUGUUUUUGCAUAUUCUGUAUUUUUAAUUAAACUCAGAAUAUUUCACUCUUAUACUGCCCAAAAGUAAAAUAAGAGUUCAAAAUAA
This is an RNA transcript of Toxotes jaculatrix (banded archerfish), 2346 nucleotides long. It is a transcript of the gene named E3 ubiquitin/ISG15 ligase TRIM25-like, with no coding region annotated. NCBI's taxonomy places the organism in Eukaryota, Metazoa, Chordata, Actinopteri, Toxotidae. The record is from RefSeq and is a predicted model, not a curated record. The transcript is spliced from 7 exons.